Molecule: RNA transcript, 3779 nt
Organism: Helicoverpa armigera (cotton bollworm)
Lineage: Eukaryota; Metazoa; Arthropoda; Insecta; Lepidoptera; Noctuidae
Gene: cry2
Gene name: cryptochrome-1
Exons: 11
Source: RefSeq, a predicted model, not a curated record
UUAUCUUGUCAGUGAGUGACAGUGUCACUUUGACAAAAAUAGCAUUGUUGAUCUGAACUUCGAAAAAAAUUCGAACAAUUUCAUUAUUCAUAAUUAAAACAGUGUUUUUUUGAUCGUCUAUCCACCGAACAAUUCGGUUUGGUACUAAAUUCAAGUUCCUAAAGUCUGUCACUAGCAGGGUUUGUUAAUUAAGGUGCGCUUAAAGUUUGUUACGUCUUUAAAAUACACACGCACACACACACACUUCUGCAUAAUACAAACAUUUAGGUCACGUUGUGGUCACGUUGCAAGUGGCGUGGAUGGAUCUGACAUUUCUAUAAUUCUCUUAAUUCAGUAGUUUUGUUCGCCGCUUCUGUGAUUACCUCCUGCUCUAAACAGACGUAAUAAAUACUAAACGUUCUAGAAGGAGUUGAAUCCUGUGACUAUAUUAAAAUUAAAUAACUAAGGCUAUUUACCUUUGAGUGGGAUUAGUUAAUUUGAUUUGUUGUAUCUACUUGGUGAUGAGAAGUUGUAAUUUUUGAGAGCUGCUUAUUAACAAUACUGUUACUGUUUAGUGAUUGACUUGUUACAAGUUUGUUCUGUGUAAUAUAUUUUACUGGACUGUGAUCUGAAAUUUAUUAUAUGGAAAUUGAUAGAGAUAUCAAAAGUAGCUUAUUCUACACCAGGUGCGAUGUGGGUAACUACAUAAGUAUGUCAGCUGCCGCGGAGACGCUGCCGGCGCCGAAUGCCCGAAAGCACGCGCCUCCGGCCACAGCGGCCGCGCCGCAGCCGCCCAGUGCUCGCCGGACAAACGGCAAGCACAUCGUGCACUGGUUCCGAAAGGGCCUGCGCCUUCAUGAUAACCCAGCGUUAAGAGAGGGCUUGCUGGACGCAGCCACCUUCAGAUGUGUAUUCAUUAUUGAUCCUUGGUUCGCUAGCUCUUCUAAUGUUGGCAUCAACAAGUGGAGGUUUCUACUGCAGUGUCUGGAAGACUUGGACAGUAGCUUGAGGAAACUUAACUCUCGGCUGUUCGUGGUUCGAGGGCAACCCGCGGACGCUUUACCCAAAUUGUUUCGAGAAUGGGGAACCACGGCUUUGACCUUCGAAGAGGAUCCCGAGCCUUAUGGCAGAGUGCGGGACCACAAUAUUAUGUCCAAAUGUCGCGAAGUUGGCAUUACCGUCACGUCUCGCGUAUCCCACACUCUAUACAAGUUAGACCAAAUUAUAGAACGGAAUGGUGGCAAAGCGCCUCUUACGUACCACCAGUUCCAAGCAUUGAUCGCAAGCAUGCCUCCCCCUCCGCCGGCGGAGGCGCCCAUAUCAGCACAAAUGCUAAACGGAGCCACCACGCCAUUGAACGAUGACCAUGAUGAUCGAUUCGGCGUUCCCACUCUUGAAGAACUCGGAUUCGAGACUGAAGGUUUAAAACCACCUGUUUGGAUCGGAGGAGAAAGUGAAGCCCUUGCGAGGUUAGAAAGACACCUCGAAAGAAAAGCAUGGGUUGCUUCAUUCGGGAGACCCAAAAUGACACCGCAGUCGCUGUUGGCUAGUCAGACAGGUUUAUCACCGUACUUAAGGUUUGGCUGUUUGUCAACUAGAUUAUUCUAUUAUCAGUUGACGGAGUUGUACAAAAGAGUUAAAAGAGUAAGACCACCGCUAUCUCUUCAUGGACAAAUACUAUGGAGGGAGUUUUUCUAUUGUGCCGCCACACGCAAUCCUAAUUUUGAUCGAAUGGAAGGAAAUCCUAUCUGUGUCCAAAUACCUUGGGAAAAAAAUCAAGAAGCUUUAGCGAAGUGGGCUAGUGGUCAAACUGGUUUCCCAUGGAUAGAUGCGAUAAUGAUCCAAUUAAGAGAGGAAGGGUGGAUUCAUCAUUUAGCGAGGCAUGCCGUGGCUUGCUUCCUAACGAGAGGCGACUUAUGGAUCUCGUGGGAAGAAGGAAUGAAGGUGUUCGACGAAUUGCUUCUUGACGCCGACUGGUCCGUCAAUGCGGGCAUGUGGAUGUGGCUAUCGUGCUCAUCAUUCUUCCAACAAUUUUUCCACUGCUAUUGUCCAGUCCGUUUCGGCAGAAAAACUGAUCCUAACGGUGAUUUUAUCAGAAGAUACAUUCCGGCGUUGAAGAACAUGCCGACUAGGUAUAUCCACGAGCCGUGGGUGGCACCCGAAGCGGUGCAACAAUCGGCGCGGUGCAUCAUCGGCCGCGACUACCCGAUGCCCAUGGUGGACCACUCGAAAGCGUCACAGGUCAACAUCGAACGUAUCAAACAAGUAUACGCCCAGCUUGCAAAAUACAAACCCCAAGGCACUCUGAAUCCCAACGCUGUACAACGCCCCAAUGUCAUGCAAUCAUCACCAAGCCCGAACUCAAUUAUAACCAGCAUCAACCAGUCGAACUACUUGUGCAGCCAAACACCAGAUCCACAGCCUUCACCACAAAUUAUACCUUACAAGGACAAUGAUGUUGUGUUCCAAAAGCCAAUGAACCACCGCUCUAUGAAACCUUCAUUUAAACAAGUUGUUAUCGUACAAAAGAAACAAAAUACUAACGUCAUACAAACAGUGUCCAAUUGCACGCCACAGUCGAAAGAAAACUAUGCCGUCAACGGACAAAUGGAUAACUCGUACAAAACACCAAUAAAUGAGAGCUUACAAACAGCGAAACAAGAAAAAUAUGACUUUAAAAACUUAGUUAUAAAUAACUAUGUUCAAGACUACUCAAAUAACCAAGAAAUUUUCCAGAAUGAGCAACAAAACAGGGACAAUAUAUAUGAACAAGAAACAUUAAAAAUUAAUAACUUCAGUUAUGAGAAACAGAAAUUCUAUUUGUCUAAUUAUACAGAGAAUGGGCUGCGUAUAGCAGCCGUGCACAACGACACACCCGCACCUUUCGUCGCAGCACGUAAUCACGACUCCACUAUGACUUUCAACAGAGAGAACAAGUCAGACACUGGAAAAGACAAGGCUAAUGAAAGCACUUGCUUACAUCCAAUGUCAAUUAACGACGAUGGCACCAUUACAAAUGAAAGUCGACAGAAUAAUCCGUCUAACGAAUGUGGAUACAAUUCUUCUAAUGAAAAUCAAAAAUGAAUAAAUUAAACAAUAGAUUAAAUUAGUCAUAAUCUAUUCAGAGUCUGUAGAAAAAAUGAAAUUGAUAUAAUUGGAAAUCAAUAUUUUCUUUUUUGAAGGUAUUUUGUAACUGCCAUUUUAUCUAUGAGACUAAAGAAACUUGUUGUUGUAUAAUAUUUUGCCUGAAAGUACAGCAAAGCUGGUUACUUAUUUUACAAGUAUAAUUUUUGAGACAGUUCAUAUACAACAAUGGAUCAACUCUUAUAAGAUUCGUUUUUCUGUAUUAACUUACAGUAAUUUGCGUGUUAUGAAUAUACAUGUUACUCAAUUACUUUUUCAUAAUAAGCAAAAUUCGUAUUAAUUUUGUUGUGUACCAGAGCUUCAUAUUGUGAUACCUGUGAUUCAGAUACCUGAAGCCAAUGUUUGAAAACUGUACCUACACCAUUUUAUGAAUUUACGCUUUUCUCAUCGUUGACCUAACAAUCCAGAUUUACUUUUGCAAACAAACCUUCGGCUACCAGAUUCCGCCAUCUAUCUCUAUUCAAAAUUAAGAGUUGGUUCACUAUUGUAUUAGUCAACAUUACACUCUGGAAGUAUAAGGUAAUGCGAGAUUCACAUUGAAACCAAUCAAGUAAUCCAACCAGGCAGAUCUCUAUUAUUAAGUUGAAUUAUUAUAAUUUUAUGAUUAAAUUGAUUGAUAACUAAAAUAAAUGUUUCUAUACAGAAUUAAACUAGAA